GCCUGAAUAGCUCCGUUGGUUAGAGCAAGGUGCUGAUAAUGCCAAGGUUGCAGGUUUGAUCCCUAUGUGGGGCA
This 74-nucleotide transfer RNA is filed under the name Podarcis lilfordi (Lilford's wall lizard). It matches the Rfam family "tRNA". From Rfam's summary of the family: Transfer RNA (tRNA) molecules are approximately 80 nucleotides in length. The record is from Rfam by way of RNAcentral. Lineage: Eukaryota; Metazoa; Chordata; Lepidosauria; Squamata; Lacertidae.